RNAcentral lists this ribosomal RNA (253 nucleotides) under uncultured bacterium. Its description in RNAcentral is "partial 16S ribosomal RNA". It matches the Rfam family "Bacterial small subunit ribosomal RNA", at positions 524 to 776 of the family's 1533-position model. The record is from RNAcentral.
UACGGAGGGAGCUAGCGUUAUUCGGAAUUACUGGGCGUAAAGCGCACGUAGGCGGAUCUUUAAGUCAGGGGUGAAAUCCCAAGGCUCAACCUUGGAACUGCCUUUGAUACUGGGGAUCUCGAGUCCGGAAGAGGUUGGUGGAACUGCGAGUGUAGAGGUGAAAUUCGUAGAUAUUCGCAAGAACACCAGUGGCGAAGGCGGCCAACUGGUCCGGUACUGACGCUGAGGUACGAAAGCGUGGGGAGCAAACAGG